Non-coding RNA from Acanthosepion pharaonis, 115 nucleotides. The record is from the annotation of a GenBank genome assembly. NCBI's taxonomy places the organism in Eukaryota, Metazoa, Mollusca, Cephalopoda, Sepiida, Sepiidae.
UUACGGCCACAUUACGUUGAAAAAUCCGGUUCCCGUACGAUCACCAAAGUUAAGCAAUAUCGAUCCUGUUCAGUACCUCUAUGUGCAACCGCUUGUGAAUAAAAGGUUUUGUAAG